GACGUUAGCGGCGGACGGGUGAAGUAACACGGUGGUAACUACCUAUAAGACUGGGAUAACUUCGGGAAACCGGAGCUAAUACCGGAUAAUAUUUCGAACCGCAUGGUUCGAUAGUGAAAGGUGGUUUUGCUAUCACUUAUAGAUGGACCCGCGCCGUAUUAGCUAGUUGGUAAGGUAACGGCUUACCAAGGCGACGAUACGUAGCCGACCUGAGAGGGUGAUCGGCCACACUGGAACUGAGACACGGUCCAGACUCCUACGGGAGGCAGCAGCG
Molecule: ribosomal RNA, 274 nt
Filed under: uncultured Staphylococcus sp.
Lineage: Bacteria; Bacillati; Bacillota; Bacilli; Caryophanales; Staphylococcaceae
Description: partial 16S ribosomal RNA
Rfam family: Bacterial small subunit ribosomal RNA
Source: RNAcentral